RNAcentral lists this small RNA (440 nucleotides) under Pan troglodytes (chimpanzee). RNAcentral's name for it is "processed transcript". The record is from RNAcentral. Lineage: Eukaryota; Metazoa; Chordata; Mammalia; Primates; Hominidae.
CGCACAUGGCGACUCAGGCGCACUCCCUCAGCUACGCAGGGUGCAACUUCUUGCGCCAACGUCUGGUCCUGUCUACUCUGAGCGGGCGCCCCGUCAAAAUCCGAAAGAUUCGGGCCAGAGAAGACAACCCGGGCCUCCGAGUUUUGAAGCCAGCUUCAUAAGGCUAUUGGACAAAAUAACGAAUGGUUCUCGAAUUGAAAUAAACCAAACAGGUUGAUGUUCUUAAGGCAACAGCACUCCCUUUGUUGAAACAAUUUGGGAUUGAUGGUGAAUCAUUUGAACUGAAGAAUGACAUCCUUAACUCCAGGCUGCAGGUACUCUGUACGUGUGUCACCUCAGAUGGCGAACCGGAUUGUGGAUUCUGCAAGGAGCAUCCUCAACAAGUUCAUACCUGAUAUCUAUAUUUACACAGAUCACAUGAAAGGAGUCAACUCUGGGAA